Molecule: ribosomal RNA, 1707 nt
Filed under: Drosophila sechellia
Lineage: Eukaryota; Metazoa; Arthropoda; Insecta; Diptera; Drosophilidae
Description: eukaryotic LSU rRNA
Rfam family: Eukaryotic large subunit ribosomal RNA
Source: RNAcentral
CCGUCGAGAGAUAAUCGGGAAGAAGUUUUCUUUUCUGUUUAUAAGCCGUACUACCAUGGAAGUCUUUCGCAGAGAGAUAUGGUAGAUGGGCUAGAAGAGCAUGACAUAUACUGUUGUGUCGAUAUUUUCUCCUCGGACCUUGAAAAUUUAUGGUGGGGACACGCAAACUUCUCAACAGGCCGUACCAAUAUCCGCAGCUGGUCUCCAAGGUGAAGAGUCUCUAGUCGAUAGAAUAAUGUAGGUAAGGGAAGUCGGCAAAUUAGAUCCGUAACUUCGGGAUAAGGAUUGGCUCUGAAGAUUGAGAUAGUCGGGCUUGAUUGGGAAACAAUAACAUGGUUUAUGUGCUCGUUCUGGGUAAAUAGAGUUUCUAGCAUUUAUGUUAGUUACUUGUUCCCCGGAUAGUUUAGUUACGUAGCCAAUUGUGGAACUUUCUUGCUAAAAUUUUUAAGAAUACUAUUUGGGUUAAACCAAUUAGUUCUUAUCAAUUAUAACGAUUAUCAAUUAACAAUCAAUUCAGAACUGGCACGGACUUGGGGAAUCCGACUGUCUAAUUAAAACAAAGCAUUGUGAUGGCCCUAGCGGGUGUUGACACAAUGUGAUUUCUGCCCAGUGCUCUGAAUGUCAAAGUGAAGAAAUUCAAGUAAGCGCAGGUAGCCAAAUGCCUCGUCAUCUAAUUAGUGACGCGCAUGAAUGGAUUAACGAGAUUCCUACUGUCCCUAUCUACUAUCUAGCGAAACCACAGCCAAGGGAACGGGCUUGGAAUAAUUAGCGGGGAAAGAAGACCCUUUUGAGCUUGACUCUAAUCUGGCAGUGUAAGGAGACAUAAGAGGUGUAGAAUAAGUGGGAGAUAUUAGACCUCGGUUUGGUAUCGUCAAUGAAAUACCACUACUCUUAUUGUUUCCUUACUUACUUGAUUAAAUGGAACGUGUAUCAUUUCCUAGCCAUUAUACGGAUAUAUUUAUUAUAUCUUAUGGUAUUGGGUUUUGAUGCAAGCUUCUUGAUCAAAGUAUCACGAGUUUGUUAUAUAAUCGCAAACAAAUUCUUUAAUAAAACGAUGCAUUUAUGUAUUUUUGAUUUGAAAAUUUGGUAUAACUCCAAUUACUCAGGUAUGAUCCAAUUCAAGGACAUUGCCAGGUAGGGAGUUUGACUGGGGCGGUACAUCUCUCAAAUAAUAACGGAGGUGUCCCAAGGCCAGCUCAGUGCGGACAGAAACCACACAUAGAGCAAAAGGGCAAAUGCUGACUUGAUCUCGGUGUUCAGUACACACAGGGACAGCAAAAGCUCGGCCUAUCGAUCCUUUUGGUUUAAAGAGUUUUUAACAAGAGGUGUCAGAAAAGUUACCAUAGGGAUAACUGGCUUGUGGCGGCCAAGCGUUCAUAGCGACGUCGCUUUUUGAUCCUUCGAUGUCGGCUCUUCCUAUCAUUGUGAAGCAAAAUUCACCAAGCGUUGGAUUGUUCACCCAUGCAAGGGAACGUGAGCUGGGUUUAGACCGUCGUGAGACAGGUUAGUUUUACCCUACUAAUGACAAAACGUUGUUGCGACAGCAUUCCUGCGUAGUACGAGAGGAACCGCAGGUACGGACCAAUGGCACAAUACUUGUUCGAGCGAACAGUGGUAUGACGCUACGUCCGUUGGAUUAUGCCUGAACGCCUCUAAGGUCGUAUCCGUGCUGGACUGCAAUGAUAAAUAAGGGGCAAUUUGCAUUGU